UAGGGAAUAUUGGUCAAUGGACGCAAGUCUGAACCAGCCAUGCCGCGUGCAGGAAGAAGGUCCUAUGGAUUGUAAACUGCUUUUCUACGGGAAGAAACCCCUGGAUGCGUCCGGGGCUGACGGUACUGUAGGAAUAAGGAUCGGCUAACUCCGUGCCAGCAGCCGCGGUAAGACGGAGGAUCCAAGCGUUGUCCGGAUUUACUGGGUUUAAAGGGUGCGUAGGCGGACGAUUAAGUCAGUGGUGAAAGCCUGCAGCUUAACUGCAGAAGUGCCACUGAAACUGGUUGUCUUGAGUACGGUUGAGGUUGUUGGAAUGCAUCAUGUAGCGGUGAAAUGCUUAGAUAUGAUACAGAACACCAAUUGCGAAGGCAGACAACUAAGCCGUAACUGACGCUGAGGC
RNAcentral lists this ribosomal RNA (400 nucleotides) under uncultured bacterium. Its description in RNAcentral is "bacterial SSU rRNA". It matches the Rfam family "Bacterial small subunit ribosomal RNA", at positions 355 to 752 of the family's 1533-position model. The record is from RNAcentral.